AUGUCUAGGUCUGUGGAACCUCUUAUUGUGGGGCGGGUGAUUGGAGAAGUUCUUGAUACAUUUAACCCAUGUGUGAAGAUGGUAACGACCUAUAACUCCAACAAGCUUGUCUUCAAUGGCCAUGAGCUCUACCCAUCAGCGGUUGUAUCUAAACCACGAGUAGAGGUCCAAGGGGGUGACUUGCGAUCCUUGUUCACACUGGUUAUGACAGACCCUGAUGUGCCAGGGCCAAGUGAUCCAUAUCUAAGGGAGCACCUUCACUGGAUUGUUACUGAUAUACCUGGGACAACAGAUGCUUCUUUUGGACGGGAAGUCAUAAGCUAUGAGAGCCCAAAACCCAACAUAGGCAUCCACAGGUUCAUUUUUGUGCUCUUCAAGCAGAAGCGAAGGCAGACUGUAACUGUGCCUUCCUUCAGGGAUCAUUUCAACACCCGUCAGUUUGCUGCGGAGAAUGACCUCGGCCUCCCUGUGGCAGCUGUCUACUUCAACUGUCAGAGGGAGACUGCUGCCAGGAGGCGCUGA
This 522-nucleotide ribosomal RNA is filed under the name Triticum aestivum (bread wheat). RNAcentral describes it as "partial small subunit ribosomal RNA". The record is from RNAcentral. Lineage: Eukaryota; Viridiplantae; Streptophyta; Magnoliopsida; Poales; Poaceae.